This 790-nucleotide ribosomal RNA is filed under the name Salmonella enterica. RNAcentral's name for it is "partial 23S ribosomal RNA". It matches the Rfam family "Bacterial large subunit ribosomal RNA", at positions 711 to 1503 of the family's 2925-position model. The record is from RNAcentral. Lineage: Bacteria; Pseudomonadati; Pseudomonadota; Gammaproteobacteria; Enterobacterales; Enterobacteriaceae. RNAcentral also lists the same sequence under 8 other names.
AGACCCGAAACCCGGUGAUCUAGCCAUGGGCAGGUUGAAGGUUGGGUAACACUAACUGGAGGACCGAACCGACUAAUGUUGAAAAAUUAGCGGAUGACCUGUGGCUGGGGGUGAAAGGCCAAUCAAACCGGGAGAUAGCUGGUUCUCCCCGAAAGCUAUUUAGGUAGCGCCUCGUGAAUUCAUCUCCGGGGGUAGAGCACUGUUUCGGCUAGGGGGCCAUCCCGGCUUACCAACCCGAUGCAAACUGCGAAUACCGGAGAAUGUUAUCACGGGAGACACACGGCGGGUGCUAACGUCCGUCGUGAAGAGGGAAACAACCCAGACCGCCAGCUAAGGUCCCAAAGUCAUGGUUAAGUGGGAAACGAUGUGGGAAGGCCCAGACAGCCAGGAUGUUGGCUUAGAAGCAGCCAUCAUUUAAAGAAAGCGUAAUAGCUCACUGGUCGAGUCGGCCUGCGCGGAAGAUGUAACGGGGCUAAACCAUGCACCGAAGCUGCGGCAGCGACACUGUGUGUUGUUGGGUAGGGGAGCGUUCUGUAAGCCUGUGAAGGUGUGUCGUGAGGCAUGCUGGAGGUAUCAGAAGUGCGAAUGCUGACAUAAGUAACGAUAAAGCGGGUGAAAAGCCCGCUCGCCGGAAGACCAAGGGUUCCUGUCCAACGUUAAUCGGGGCAGGGUGAGUCGACCCCUAAGGCGAGGCCGAAAGGCGUAGUCGAUGGGAAACGGGUUAAUAUUCCCGUACUUGGUGUUACUGCGAAGGGGGGACGGAGAAGGCUAUGUUGGCCGGGCGACGGUU